GAUGAACGCUGGCGGCGUGCCUAAUACAUGCAAGUCGAGCGAACAGAUGAGGAGCUUGCUCCUCUGACGUUAGCGGCGGACGGGUGAGUAACACGUGGAUAACCUACCUAUAAGACUGGGAUAACUUCGGGAAACCGGAGCUAAUACCGGAUAAUAUAUUCAACCGCAUGGUUCAAUAGUGAAAGACGGUUUUGCUGUCACUUAUAGAUGGAUCCGCGCCGCAUUAGCUAGUUGGUAAGGUAACGGCUUACCAAGGCAACGAUGCGUAGCCGACCUGAGAGGGUGAUCGGCCACACUGGAACUGAGACACGGUCCAGACUCCUACGGGAGGCAGCAGUAGGGAAUCUUCCGCAAUGGGCGAAAGCCUGACGGAGCAACGCCGCGUGAGUGAUGAAGGUCUUCGGAUCGUAAAACUCUGUUAUUAGGGAAGAACAAAUGUGUAAGUAACUAUGCACGUCUUGACGGUACCUAAUCAGAAAGCCACGGCUAACUACGUG
RNAcentral lists this ribosomal RNA (497 nucleotides) under uncultured bacterium. RNAcentral's name for it is "partial 16S ribosomal RNA". It matches the Rfam family "Bacterial small subunit ribosomal RNA", at positions 28 to 507 of the family's 1533-position model. The record is from RNAcentral.